RNAcentral lists this unclassified non-coding RNA (1049 nucleotides) under Eurytemora carolleeae. Its description in RNAcentral is "uncharacterized LOC111698059". Lineage: Eukaryota; Metazoa; Arthropoda; Copepoda; Calanoida; Temoridae. The record is from RNAcentral.
GAGAAUGAAACCAAAUGUAUUGCGUCUCAGCAAAGUUUUAUUUAUGGUUCUGUUUAUAUGUUUAAUCAUCUACUCCAUCCAAGAAUUAGAAUACUUAGAAACUUUCAAAAUUAUUCAACCUGCAGAAGCAGAAUAUCCGAAUUCUUUCUGCAACUGCAAACCUAGGAUUGCACGCUAUAUAGAGAAUAUUAACGAAGCCAUAUUACCUGAAUAUAUUGAUUUCUCUAAGGUGAAGAAGGGGGACUAUGUUGGUAAAUCUACAUGUAAUAAUUAUACAUCUGCACUUGGAGCUGGGCAGAAUGUGUUAUCCUACUCGUUAUAUAAUCCUCCCAGGGCUUUAACAGGAGAAAUACUCGAAUUGGAUGCCUGGGAUACAAAAUAUAUUGAGCUUAUAGAGGAUAUAAUUCCUCAUGCAGAGAUGUACUACCCCGGAUGGAGAAUCCGGAUUUAUCACAACAUUACUCGACUGGAACCUGACAGAAUGACGAGACAGGAACUGUGUAGAUUGUAUUGUACAUAUCAUCUUAUAGAUCUAUGUGAUGUCACUAAUUUACCCAGUGUUGGGAACCUUAAUGAAAGAUCUCCUGUUGGUAGACUAUGGAGGUUUCAGCCAGCAGGAGACCCAACAGUUGAUGCGUUUGCUUGCAGAGAUAUUGAUAGUUAUAUGUUGGAUAGGGAGGUGUUUGCAGUCAAGGACUGGUUGAAAUCUCCACACCAAUAUCAUAUUAUGAGAGAUGGACCAUUUCACACCAUGUUCGGUAUGUUGGCCGGUAUGUGGGGCGGCCGGAACUACCAGAAUAUGACGCUAGCUCUGGAAGUACGCAAAGCGUACAUGAGAGUUCAACCUUCAGAAGCUAAGAGUUCAGAUCAGGAUGUUUUGAUUAGUGAGGUCUACCCUUUAUUGAGGUUUGGUCGGGGCUAAUAUGGCUCCUUAUCCAACAAGGAGAGUCGGGUUUACAUUCGUAGGCUAUGGGCCAUCAUGGAAUCAUAUGAUGUGGGCAUUAGCUAAUUCUCCUUGUCCUGUGGAGUGCAGACCCCCAAACCAUCAG